Molecule: transfer RNA, 76 nt
Filed under: Candidatus Magnetovum chiemense
Lineage: Bacteria; Pseudomonadati; Nitrospirota; Nitrospiria; Nitrospirales; Nitrospiraceae
Description: Candidatus Magnetoovum chiemensis tRNA-Lys
Rfam family: tRNA
About the family: Transfer RNA (tRNA) molecules are approximately 80 nucleotides in length. Their secondary structure includes four short double-helical elements and three loops (D, anti-codon, and T loops). Further hydrogen bonds mediate the characteristic L-shaped molecular structure. tRNAs have two regions of fundamental functional importance: the anti-codon, which is responsible for specific mRNA codon recognition, and the 3' end, to which the tRNAs corresponding amino acid is attached (by aminoacyl-tRNA synthetases). tRNAs cope with the degeneracy of the genetic code in two manners: having more than one tRNA (with a specific anti-codon) for a particular amino acid; and 'wobble' base-pairing, i.e. permitting non-standard base-pairing at the 3rd anti-codon position.
Source: RNAcentral
GGCUGUUAGCUCAAUCGGUAGAGCACCUGACUCUUAAUCAGUAGGUUCCGCGUUCGAUUCGCGGACAGCCCACCAU